CCUGUUUGAAAAAUGUCGCACGUCGUACGAGUUGUCGCACGGUUUUGAUUUUACCGUUUCGAUAUCGAUUGGUCGAAAAGACGACAAACGUACGACAAACACUCGACAUGCCCGACAUUGUUUUUUCUAUCGAUUUUCCUUCAAUUUGACGUCACGAUUUUCGUCGACGCAAGAGUUUGACAGUUCUCUUCAGUUGGACUUGUUUGAACAUGAUUGCUGUUGAGCUUCGCAAGGAUUUUGGCCGGUUGAUAGGUUUCCUGAUUUCGGUUAUCGUGGUGGUGGAGGCGAAGGAGGAUGGGAAAUAGAGAUAACCCGGCGGCCAUGCCGGAAGACGGGAUGGGAAGGAACCAAUCUGCGGUCGAGGAAGCGGAUGUUUUAUUUUCCACGGGAGGUUGCGGUGCAUUCCCAAAAGAGAAAAAGGAUUAAAUACCAAGUUCUGGUCAAGGGAACAUAAAUAAGGAAACGGAACUUCCAAUUCCCAGAGAGUUGUUCACUGUUCUGGGUGAAUGAAAAGGCGGAGGAGGACGGAAUAAUACGCUCCCGGUGGCGUUUCUGAUUCGCCAGAAGUUAUUAUCAAUGACAUUCGAAAAUAUUCCUAUCUGAUCCUGCCGAAAGUCUUGCAAAGUGCGUAAACCCACGUUAUCCGUUACUUCAGUGGCCAUCAGUCCAUCGGACAUAAAACAG
Culex pipiens pallens (northern house mosquito) is the source of this 684-nucleotide long non-coding RNA. RefSeq lists it as uncharacterized. The transcript is spliced from 3 exons. NCBI's taxonomy places the organism in Eukaryota, Metazoa, Arthropoda, Insecta, Diptera, Culicidae. The record is from RefSeq and is a predicted model, not a curated record.